RNAcentral lists this ribosomal RNA (405 nucleotides) under uncultured bacterium. Its description in RNAcentral is "bacterial SSU rRNA". It matches the Rfam family "Bacterial small subunit ribosomal RNA", at positions 355 to 776 of the family's 1533-position model. The record is from RNAcentral.
UGAGGAAUAUUGGACAAUGGGCGAAAGCCUGAUCCAGCAACGCCGCGUGGGUGAUGAAGGCCUUCGGGUUGUAAAGCCCUGUCGGGGGGGACGAGCAAGGACGGUACCCCCUAAGGAAGCACCGGCUAACUCCGUGCCAGCAGCCGCGGUAAUACGGAGGGUGCAAGCGUUGUCCGGAAUUACUGGGCGUAAAGCAGGUGCAGGCGGUUCGUUGUGUCGGGUGUGAAAUCCCAAGGCUUAACCUUGGAACUGCGCCCGAAACUGGCGAACUUGAGUGUGGGAGGGGAUGGUGGAAUUCUGGGUGUAGAGGUGAAAUUCGUAGAUAUCCAGAAGAAUACCGGUGGCGAAGGCGACCAUCUGGCCCAUUACUGACGCUCAGACCUGAAAGCGUGGGGAGCAAACAGA